CUUUCCUGUGUAUAACAAUCAGUAGAACAAGCAGAGACAGGUGGGGAGAGAAUUAUCCAAAGGAGGUUCCUGGAGGUAUCAGGCACUCAGAAAUAUGUUUCUAUAGAUGAGUCCUGUUUUAUAUAAUAAAAAUAUAAAUAUUGGUCUGUUCCAGGCAUGAGAGAUGGAGAGAUUCCUCAUGGUGCUUCUGAUUGGGAACUUUGCCAAAGGUCAAUAUUCUGGGGCAAAUGUCACUCAAUCCCCGAAGUUUCUACUCAUCAAACCUGGGGAAAGUGCAGAGAUUCAGUGCCACCAAGAUAACAAGAACUUUGACUACAUGUACUGGUACCAACAAGUGCCCGGGAAGGAGCUGAAGCUCAUGAUGCUCUCGAGAAAUUCAGCUUCUGUAGAGAUGGAGAGUCAAUAUGAGGCCGAGUGGGAGGCAGAAAGAAUAGGGGCGAUGAACUCCAGUCUGAGGCUGAAGAAGGGGAAGGUGGAAGAUUCUGCCACGUAUUUCUGUGCAGCGAGUUUACACAGUCACUGACAUUCUAGUAACACCUGCCACCAAACCCACGGCCUGGCACAGCUAGAGAUGUACCACCGGGCAGCAAGGAGAGUCCAGGCUAGGAAAUGAUGGGUUAAUCAACUAAGUGCCCCUGGCCCUUUCCACCCCUCAUAAAUGCAAGUUGGUACAGACCUGUCAGAUUCUGUUCAUUUACAGAGAUAUUUUAUUAUUUCAUAUAUUGUUGUACAUUUCUUGUUUGCCUUAAAUUUCUCAGAGUUCCCUGUAUAACUCAGCCUGCAGCCUUGUGUCUUUAUAUGGUCACAGAA
Xenopus laevis (African clawed frog) is the source of this 810-nucleotide non-coding RNA. The record is from the annotation of a RefSeq genome assembly. Lineage: Eukaryota; Metazoa; Chordata; Amphibia; Anura; Pipidae.